CCUACGGGAGGCAGCAGUGAGGACUAUUGGUCAAUGGCCGCAGGGCUGCACCAGCCAAGUCGCGUGAGGGAUGACGGUCCUAUGGAUUGUAAACCUCUUUUGUCAGGGAGCAAAGGGCGCCACGUGUGGCUCUUUGCGAGUACCUGAAGAAAAAGCAUCGGCUACCUCCGUGCCAGCAGCCGCGGUAAUACGGGGGAUGCGAUCGUUAUCCGGAUUUAUGGGGUUUAAAGGGUUCGCAGUCGGAAUGUCAAGUCAGCGGUAAACUUUCGGGGCUCAACCCCGUCGUGCCGUUGAAACUGGCGUUCUUGAGGGAGCGAGAAGUAUGCGGAAGGCGUGGUGUAGCGGUGAAAUGCAUAGAUAUCACGCAGAACUCCGAUUGCGAAGGCAGCAUACCGGCGCUCAACUGACGCUCAUGCACGAAAGCGUGGGUAUCGAACAGGAUUAGAUACCAGAGGAGUC
This 459-nucleotide ribosomal RNA is filed under the name uncultured bacterium. RNAcentral describes it as "partial 16S ribosomal RNA". It matches the Rfam family "Bacterial small subunit ribosomal RNA", at positions 338 to 795 of the family's 1533-position model. The record is from RNAcentral.